RNAcentral lists this ribosomal RNA (499 nucleotides) under uncultured bacterium. Its description in RNAcentral is "partial 16S ribosomal RNA". It matches the Rfam family "Bacterial small subunit ribosomal RNA", at positions 28 to 507 of the family's 1533-position model. The record is from RNAcentral.
GACGAACGCUGGCGGCGUGCCUAAUACAUGCAAGUCGAGCGAAGUUUUUCUGGUGCUUGCACCGGAAAAACUUAGCGGCGAACGGGUGAGUAACACGUAAAGAACCUGCCUCAUAGACUGGGACAACUAUUGGAAACGAUAGCUAAUACCGGAUAACAGCAUUAACUGCAUGGUUGAUGUUUAAAAGUUGGUUUUGCUAAUACUAUGAGAUGGCUUUGCGGUGCAUUAGCUAGUUGGUGGGGUAAAGGCCUACCAAGGCGACGAUGCAUAGCCGACCUGAGAGGGUGAUCGGCCACACUGGGACUAAGACACGGCCCAGACUCCUACGGGAGGCAGCAGUAGGGAAUCUUCCGCAAUGGGCGAAAGCCUGACGGAGCAACGCCGCGUGAGUGAAGAAGGAUUUCGGUUCGUAAAGCUCUGUUGUUAGGGAAGAAUGAUUGUGUAGUAACUAUACACAGUAGAGACGGUACCUAACCAGAAAGCCACGGCUAACUACGUG